GAUGAACGCUGGCGGCGUGCCUAAUACAUGCAAGUCGAGCGGACAGACGAGGAGCUUGUGCCUUUGACGUGAGCGGCGGACGGGUGAGUAACGCGUGUAUAACCCACUUAUAUUACGGGGAUAACUACGGAAAACCGGAUCUAAUAGCGUAGAAUAUACUGAACCGCAGGGUGCAUUGGUAAAUGACGGUUUUGGUGGCUGUAAUAGAGGGAUCCGCGCCGCAUUGGCUGGUUGGUAAGGUAACGGCCUACCAAGGCAACGAUGCGUAGCCGAACUGAGAGGGUGAUCGGCCACACUGGAACUGAGACACGGUCCAGACUCCUACGGGAGGCAGCAGUCGGGAAUCUUCCGCAAUGGGCGAAAGCCUGACGCAGUGACGCCGCGUGUGUGAUGAAGGCCUUCGGGCCGUAAAGCCCUUUUAUUAGGUAAGAACAGAUGUGGAAGUAAACAUAGCCGUAUUGACGGUACCUAAUCAAAAAGCACCGGCUAACUACGUG
Molecule: ribosomal RNA, 497 nt
Filed under: uncultured bacterium
Lineage: Bacteria
Description: partial 16S ribosomal RNA
Rfam family: Bacterial small subunit ribosomal RNA
Source: RNAcentral